UAGCAAUUCGCCCUGCCASAUUCAGUUGCUCGUGCUCCGCGACGUGCGCGCUCUCGAUCCGCAUGGACGAGACGUGCGCGGGUGCGGCGCUCGGACGGCGCACUUCUGGCGGGCGAGCGUCAGCGUCGGUUGUCGACGGGCGACAAGGAUGCAAGGAAGGUGGACCGGUCUUCGGGCCGGUUGUUAAGCCUUGUGCUCGUAUAGCUCGACGGCGACCGUGGCUCCGAAGAGGCGACGCGUGCCUAGCUGGCGACUCGAACGAUCGGUCUGGCAUGUCGACUGUGGCGGACGGCACGCCUGUGCGCUCGAACUGCUGCCGGUCGAUCGUGCGAUGUUCGCACACUACGCGUCGAAGAUGCUGACGACCAUACGGCUCCAUCCGACCCGUCUUGAAACACGGACCAAGGA
This 408-nucleotide ribosomal RNA is filed under the name Ushanaia fervens. RNAcentral describes it as "Alcyoniidae gen. U sp. ferv GMK-2022 partial large subunit ribosomal RNA". Lineage: Eukaryota; Metazoa; Cnidaria; Anthozoa; Malacalcyonacea; Alcyoniidae. The record is from RNAcentral.